GGGUUCGUAACUCAGUCUGGCAGAGUAUCAGCCUUUUAAGCUGAGAGUCGCGGGUUCAAAUCCCGUCGAGCCCACCA
Molecule: transfer RNA, 77 nt
Filed under: Nanobdellota archaeon
Lineage: Archaea; Nanobdellati; Nanobdellota
Description: tRNA-Lys
Rfam family: tRNA
About the family: Transfer RNA (tRNA) molecules are approximately 80 nucleotides in length. Their secondary structure includes four short double-helical elements and three loops (D, anti-codon, and T loops).
Source: RNAcentral